AGAGGGUGGCGAGUCAGGAGCCGACGAAUGCUGGAGAGGCCAUCCGCAGGGGCGGGUCUCUCCAGAGAGCAGCCGGGUGACAACGUGGCACAGAACGGCACUGCAUCGGAGUAGGCACACUGCAAAGACGAGACGAGUCCUCCCCAGAGAGGGGAGGCGGUUAAGGAGAGGAGAUUGCGUGGCUCGGAGCAGCCAGACCCGAUGGUGUGCUUCUCACCUCAGCGUGAUAGCCUGACCUUGACUCCUGAGUUCCACGAUCGCUUCACAACUGCAAGUCACCAUCAUACAAAAUUUGAGUUUCCCUAAGUCCGCGCCUUUGAGAGCUUUGGAACGAUAUGCAAGUUCAAGUCACCAUCCUGUUUCUUGCUACCUCCUGUGAGAAGACCAACAUUUGGGUUACACUUGUUUCUACUCUUGUUCUUCUGCUUGUUAUUGUUGCCUCUGCAGCCAUUGAUCACACACGUGUUGUCAUACAAAAACUGGUUAGCCUUUUUAUUUGUCUUGUGAAUUUUAUCAUUUGGUUCUUAAGUAUUACAAAUUAAUAUUGUGUACUCUCAUUGAUAUACAACUUGCAGUCAUUGUAAAUAUGCGUGAGUUAGGGGUGAGAAUGGCAUGCAAGCAAAAGAACAAGGAGAGGGAUGAUAGAGAUGCAAGAAGAGUAAAGAGGGCAAGAAAGUUUAUGUUAAUAGCGAACACAAUGAAAGUUCUUUAAAUGCUUGAUAAUGGUGAAAGCAACACUUCCUAGGGCAUAUUUUUGGUGUUAAUGAACCUACACAUCAUACAAUAAAGAAAAUUGAGAAAGCAGUUGGGGCCAGUGAAUCGGGGGCACACAAGAAUCACUGAGAAAAUCAUACACAACUCAAAAUGCCACAAUAGGGAAAAUAUAAAGAGAUUUGCACUUGUGGCUUCUAAAACAGAGAAGGUUGAAUAGGUCUCUUUCUGUGUGUAAAAUCUGCCAGUGAGCAUCACAAAAAUGCAAAUUUAAAUUUCAAUCUGGAUGGAAAGUUAUAAAAUUCAUUGCAAGUAAUGGGUGGUUGGGUAGGUUUAAGAAAUGCCAGGUGGGUGGAUCACUUGAGGUCUGGAGUUUGCAACUAGCCUGGCCAACAUGGUGAAACCUUGUCUCUACUAAAAAUACAAAAAUUAGCCAGGAUUGGUGGCGGGUACCUGUAAUCUCAGCUACUCAGGAGGCUGAGGCAGGAGAAUCGCUUGAACCUAGGAGGCAGAGGUUGCAGUGAGCUGAGAUCGUGCCAUCGCACUCCAGCCUGGGUGACGAGAGCAAAGCUCUGUCUCAAAAAAAGAAAAGAAGAGAAGAGAAAAGAGAAGAGAAGAAAGAAGAGAAGAGAAGAGAAGAGAA
Homo sapiens (human) is the source of this 1354-nucleotide long non-coding RNA. Ensembl annotates it as long intergenic non-protein coding RNA 632. The record is from Ensembl. NCBI's taxonomy places the organism in Eukaryota, Metazoa, Chordata, Mammalia, Primates, Hominidae.